UACGAAGGGGGCUAGCGUUGCUCGGAAUUACUGGGCGUAAAGGGCGCGUAGGCGGAUAUCUAAGUUGGGGGUGAAAUCCCGGGGCUCAACCCCGGAAUUGCCUUCAAAACUGGAUAUCUUGAGUUCGGGAGAGGUGAGUGGAACUCCGAGUGUAGAGGUGAAAUUCGUAGAUAUUCGGAAGAACACCAGUGGCGAAGGCGACUCACUGGCCCGAUACUGACGCUGAGGCGCGAAAGCGUGGGGAGCAAACAGG
RNAcentral lists this ribosomal RNA (253 nucleotides) under uncultured bacterium. RNAcentral describes it as "partial 16S ribosomal RNA". It matches the Rfam family "Bacterial small subunit ribosomal RNA", at positions 524 to 776 of the family's 1533-position model. The record is from RNAcentral.